CAACCCUCAAGCAUUGCUUGGUAUUGGAUGCCACCACUGUGGUGCGUCUCAAAAGUAUUGGCGGUGGCAUUCAGCUUCUAGCGUAGUAAAUCUUCUCGCCUUGGAGUUUGAGUGUCUGACUGCCAGAACCCCUAAAUUUAUCAAA
Molecule: unclassified non-coding RNA, 145 nt
Filed under: uncultured Helotiales
Lineage: Eukaryota; Fungi; Ascomycota; Leotiomycetes; Helotiales
Description: sequence contains ITS2
Source: RNAcentral